ACUACUAGUACUCGAGCGGAGUUCCAAAGUUGAAUCAUGGUUGAAUGUUGUUGCGCAGA
This 59-nucleotide long non-coding RNA is filed under the name Patiria miniata (bat star). Its description in RNAcentral is "uncharacterized LOC119741580". Lineage: Eukaryota; Metazoa; Echinodermata; Asteroidea; Valvatida; Asterinidae. The record is from RNAcentral.